UACGUAGGGUGCGAGCGUUGUCCGGAAUUAUUGGGCGUAAAGAGCGCGCAGGCGGUCGUUCAAGUCGAGUGUGAAAGCCCCCGGCUCAACUGGGGAGGGUCACUUGAUACUGAUCGACUCGAAGGCAGGAGAGGGAAGCGGAAUUCCCGGUGUAGUGGUGAAAUGCGUAGAUAUCGGGAGGAACACCAGUGGCGAAGGCGGCUUCCUGGCCUGUUCUUGACGCUGAGGCGCGAAAGCUAGGGGAGCAAACGGG
RNAcentral lists this ribosomal RNA (253 nucleotides) under uncultured bacterium. RNAcentral describes it as "partial 16S ribosomal RNA". It matches the Rfam family "Bacterial small subunit ribosomal RNA", at positions 524 to 776 of the family's 1533-position model. The record is from RNAcentral.